GUCGUACGCUCCAGCAAUGGGGAGUGGCAGACGGGUGAGUAACGCGUGGGAAUCUUCCUAUCGGUACGGAAUAGCUCAGGGAAACUUGGGGUAAUACCGUAUACGCCCUUCGGGGGAAAGUUUUUCGCCGAUAGAUGAGCCCGCGUCUGAUUAGCUAGUUGGUGAGGUAAUGGCUCACCAAGGCGACGAUCAGUAGCUGGUCUGAGAGGAUGACCAGCCACACUGGGACUGAGACACGGCCCAGACUCCUACGGGAGGCAGCAGUGGGGAAUAUUGGACAAUGGGCGCAAGCCUGAUCCAGCCAUGCCGCGUGAGUGACGAAGGUCUUCUGAUUGUAAAGCUCUUUUGGCGGGGACGAUAAUGACGGUACCCGCAGAAUAAGCCCCGGCUAACUUCGUGCCAGCAGCCGCGGUAAUACGAAGGGGGCUAGCGUUGUUCGGAAUUACUGGGCGUAAAGCGCACGUAGGCGGAUUGCUAAGUCAGGGGUGAAAUCCCGGGGCUCAACCUCGGAACUGCCUUUGAUACUGGCAAUCUCUAGUCCGGAAGAGGUGAGUGGAAUUCCUAGUGUACAGGUGAAAUUCGUAGAUAUUAUGAAGAACACCAGUGGCGAAGGCGGCUCACUGGUCCGGUACUGACGCUGAGGUGCGAAAGCGUGCGGAGCAAACAGGAUUAGAUACCCUGGUAGUCCACGCCGUAAACUAUGGAUGCUAGCCGUCAGCUAGCUUGCUUGUCUGUGGCGCAUCUCACGCAUUAAGCAUCCCGCCUGGGGAGUACGGCCACAACGUUAAAACUCAAAGGAAUUGACUGGGG
This 810-nucleotide ribosomal RNA is filed under the name uncultured Alphaproteobacteria bacterium. RNAcentral's name for it is "bacterial SSU rRNA". It matches the Rfam family "Bacterial small subunit ribosomal RNA", at positions 61 to 919 of the family's 1533-position model. Lineage: Bacteria; Pseudomonadati; Pseudomonadota; Alphaproteobacteria. The record is from RNAcentral.